GAUGAACGCUGGCGGCGUGCCUAAUACAUGCAAGUCGAGCGAACGGACGAGAAGCUUGCUUCUCUGAUGUUAGCGGCGGACGGGUGAGUAACACGUGGAUAACCUACCUAUAAGACUGGGAUAACUUCGGGAAACCGUAGCUAAUACCGGAUAAUAUUUUGAACCGCAUGGUUCAAAAGUGAAAGACGGUCUUGCUGUCACUUAUAGAUGGAUCCGCGCUGCAUUAGCUAGUUGGUAAGGUAACGGCUUACCAAGGCAACGAUGCAUAGCCGACCUGAGAGGGUGAGCGGCCACACUGGAACUGAGACACGGUCCAGACUCCUACGGGAGGCAGCAGUAGGGAAUCUUCCGCAAAGGGCGAAAGCCUGACGGAGCAACGCCGCGUGAGUGAUGAAGGUCUUCGGAUCGUAAAACUCUGUUAUUAGGGAAGAACAUAUGUGUAAGUAACUGUGCACAUCUUGACGGUACCUAAUCAGAAAGCCACGGCUAACUACGUG
This 497-nucleotide ribosomal RNA is filed under the name uncultured bacterium. Its description in RNAcentral is "partial 16S ribosomal RNA". It matches the Rfam family "Bacterial small subunit ribosomal RNA", at positions 28 to 507 of the family's 1533-position model. The record is from RNAcentral.